UCUAAAGUCAGAGGUCUUCAAAAUCUGAACAAAACACAGCAUCCACUCCAAGACCCCUCAGCCAAGCUCCUGGAGCUGAGAUUCUUGAGACAAACUGCAGAAAUGAGCAAGAAAGUGACAGAAACAUACUCACCAGGGAGAAGCUGAGAGCUCUACCUUCUCAGGACCAGGCUGUGAAGGUCUGAAAGCCCGAGGCUGGCUCAGACACAACCCGCCUGGAAUGUCGGUUUGAAACUUAAAAGCAACGACCAUUCAGUCAGUUAUUUCCCUCCAUUCCCAGUGAUGUCCACACGAUUGAGACUCCCUUCCUGGAAGAACAGCCUUCCUGACCCCCGGCAAGCAGACUCAGCCACUGCCCUGACAUGCUGCCCGGGAGCCUACUCUAGGGAAAAAUGCCUUAUUUAGGAGGUCUAGGAACGGCC
This 422-nucleotide long non-coding RNA is filed under the name Bos taurus (domestic cattle). Its description in RNAcentral is "long non-coding RNA NONBTAT002968". Lineage: Eukaryota; Metazoa; Chordata; Mammalia; Artiodactyla; Bovidae. The record is from RNAcentral.